GCCUGGAUGACCAUCGUUGGUGCGGUGUGCAGACUUCAAAUCUGUAGCUGGGUAGUUCCAGAGAGGUUCGAUUCCUCCUUUCGGGC
Transfer RNA from Thelohanellus kitauei, 86 nucleotides. It matches the Rfam family "Selenocysteine transfer RNA". Lineage: Eukaryota; Metazoa; Cnidaria; Myxozoa; Bivalvulida; Myxobolidae. The record is from Rfam.